Molecule: unclassified non-coding RNA, 631 nt
Filed under: Hevea brasiliensis (rubber tree)
Lineage: Eukaryota; Viridiplantae; Streptophyta; Magnoliopsida; Malpighiales; Euphorbiaceae
Source: RNAcentral
GCCUGAAUAAGAAUCACCGCCAAUAUAGAGUGGAUGAAACACAAACUUUGGGUGACCCAUAAGCCACUUUCUUAGAAAUUCAUAAGUUUGUGCUACUGAGGAUAGAUCACCAGUUUUAUAUCCCUCUGAAGUUGUUGCAUAGGAGAAUCCAGUGCCAACCGGAGCAUCCAAAAAUAUUAUAUUUGCAACCUUGGUCCAUGAGUAUGGAUUCAAGGUCAACGUUGGCAGUGUCUUCCAACUAAAGUUCGAAUAAUUGAAAGUUAUUGGACCGAUUUCAUAAAAAAUGGCAGAUAAAGCAGAGCAGCCAGGGCCUCCUGUGAGCCAAAGCACAAGGGGAUCAAGUCUUGGAUUCCUCUCAGACUCAAUGAAGUAGUAGAAUAGCUGCACUUCAUCCAUCUCGCCUACUCCGAUAUACCCAGUUUCAAGCGUAAACGGUAGAUCUCCAUCAAACCCAGGUAGAGUCUUGAUGAUUGAUUGUGAAGCGACUACGCUGGUGAAGAUCAAAACAAGAAUAACUUGUGAUAACAUUUUGUUCAUCAAAGAAGGUCCUGGAAUUAGUAUCGGUUGAGGUUGGAUUACUCAGCUGAUACACACAUAUAUAUAGCCAGUGGUGGUGGUUAUGAGUUCUGCC